This 253-nucleotide ribosomal RNA is filed under the name uncultured bacterium. RNAcentral's name for it is "partial 16S ribosomal RNA". It matches the Rfam family "Bacterial small subunit ribosomal RNA", at positions 524 to 776 of the family's 1533-position model. The record is from RNAcentral.
UACGAAGGGGGCUAGCGUUGUUCGGAAUCACUGGGCGUAAAGCGCACGCAGGCGGAUCGAUAAGUCGGGGGUGAAAGCCCGGGGCUCAACCUCGGAAUUGCCUUCGAUACUGUCAGUCUCGAGUCUGGGAGAGGUGAGUGGAAUUCCUAGUGUAGAGGUGAAAUUCGUAGAUAUUAGGAAGAACACCAGUGGCGAAGGCGGCUCACUGGACCGGUACUGACGCUCAGGUGCGAAAGCGUGGGGAGCAAACAGG